ACGCUGGCGGCACGCCUAACACAUGCAAGUCGAACGAAGUAGCAAUACUUAGUGGCAGACGGGUGAGUAACAUGUGGGUAUCUGCCCUUUGGCCUGGAAUAACACGAGGAAACUUGUGCUAAUACCGGAUAAGUCUUUACGGAGAAAGCUUUAUGCACCAUUGGAUGAGCCCGCACUUGAUUAGUUUGUUGGUAGGGUAAUGGCCUACCAAGACUGUGAUCAAUAGCUGAUUUGAGAGGAUGAUCAGCCACAUUGGGACUGAGACACGGCCCAAACUCCUACGGGAGGCAGCAGUGGGGAAUCUUGCACAAUGGAGGAAACUCUGAUGCAGCGAUGCCGCGUGAGUGAAGAAGGCCCUUGGGUUGUAAAGCUCUUUCGUCGGGGAAGAAAAUGACUGUACUCGAAUAAGAAGGUCCGGCUAACUUCGUGCCAGCAGCCGCGGUAAUACGAAGGGACCUAGCGUAGUUCGGAAUUACUGGGCUUAAAGAGUUCGUAGGUGGUUGAAAAAGUUGGUGGUGAAAUCCCAGAGCUUAACUCUGGAACUGCCAUCAAAACUUUUCAGCUAGAGUAUGAUAGAGGAAAGCAGAAUUUCUAGUGUAGAGGUGAAAUUCGUAGAUAUUAGAAAGAAUACCAAUUGCGAAGGCAGCUUUCUGGAUCAUUACUGACACUGAGGAACGAAAGCAUGGGUAGCGAAGAGGAUUAGAUACCCUCGUAGUCCAUGCCGUAAACGAUGUGUGUUAGACGUUGGAAAUUUAUUUUCAGUGUCGCAGCGAAAGCGAUAAACACACCGCCUGGGGAGUACGACCGCAAGGUUAAAACUCAAAUGAAUUGACGGGGACCCGCACAAGUAGUGGAGCAUGUGGUUUAAUUCGAAGAUACGCGCAGAACCUUACCAACACUUGACAUGUUCGUCGCGACUCUAAGAGAUUAGAGUUUUCGGUUCGGCCGGACGAAACACAGGUGCUGCAUGGCUGUCGUCAGCUCGUGUCGUGAGAUGUUGGGUUACGUCCCGCAACGAGCGCAACCCUCACUUUUAGUUGCCAUCAUUAAGUUGGGCACUCUGAAAGAACUGCCAGUGAUAAGCUGAAGGAAGGUGGGGAUGACGUCAAGUCCUCAUGGCCCUUACGUGUUGGGCUACACACGUGCUACAAUGGUAUCUACAACAGGAAGCAAGACUGCGAAGUUAAGCAAAUCCCUAAAAGAUACCUCAGUUCGGAUUGCACUCUGCAACUCGAGUGCAUGAAGCUGGAAUUACUAGUAAUCGUGGAUCAGCGUGCCACGGUGAAUGCGUUCCCGGGUCUUGCACUCACCGCCC
Molecule: ribosomal RNA, 1315 nt
Filed under: uncultured bacterium
Lineage: Bacteria
Description: 16S ribosomal RNA
Rfam family: Bacterial small subunit ribosomal RNA
Source: RNAcentral